UCUGCACUCUCAGAUGCGGAGAAGCCCUCCCCUCAUGAGGAAUUGACAGCCUGACUUUUCCAUUUCAGCUGCUGGAGGAUGAACAUGUCUACCUCCUGGGGGUCAUCCAGAGCUGCCAGGCAGCUGAGCUCAGGGGGCUCCGAUCCCUGAAGUGCUCCAAGCAGGAGACAGCCCAAGCCAUUCUGGACAUCCUGGGGCCCCUGGAGCACUUCAGGGAUCGCCCCCUGACCCUGGCCCUUGCCUUGGAGGCCCUCCUCCAGCUAAGCACGAUGAGGCCCAAAUUCAGCUGUGAUAUGAUCAGUGCCAUCCUGCACAGAACGUUGGAGGCCGUGCUGAAAGGGGCCACUGAGGAAGAGGAGAAGAGAGAAGAACUGAAGAGGCACUUCCAGCUCCUGUUGGGCAUUCUCCUUAUGGAAUCCCCCAACCCUGGCACCCUCCUGCACCAUCUCAGUG
This is a non-coding RNA of Podarcis muralis (Common wall lizard), 453 nucleotides long. The record is from RefSeq and is a predicted model, not a curated record. Lineage: Eukaryota; Metazoa; Chordata; Lepidosauria; Squamata; Lacertidae.